Non-coding RNA from Pelobates cultripes (western spadefoot toad), 233 nucleotides. The record is from the annotation of a GenBank genome assembly. Lineage: Eukaryota; Metazoa; Chordata; Amphibia; Anura; Pelobatidae.
GCCCAUUAUUGGGUUACCAACAGUCUACACUUAUUAUAGAAUUUCUCUCUCCUACAUACCCACAACAUGGAGAAGAUUCUCUGUCAACCUUACUUUUUGAUGUGCCUUCAAUCAAAUUAUUUCUAGUGAGUGUAACCUUGAACACCACUUUUAAAUGAUGUUUUGAUAGUACACCAUGCUAUUUGUCUUCUUCCUACUGUAGAUCUUAUAUUCUUUACCUUGCUGUCUGUACC